AUUGAACGCUGGCGGCAUGCCUUACACAUGCAAGUCGAACGGCAGCACGGGUGCUUGCACCUGGUGGCGAGUGGCGAACGGGUGAGUAAUACAUCGGAACAUGUCCUGUAGUGGGGGAUAGCCCGGCGAAAGCCGGAUUAAUACCGCAUACGAUCUACGGAUGACAGCGGGGGACCUUCGGGCCUCGCGCUAUAGGGUUGGCCGAUGGCGGAUUAGCUAGUUGGUGGGGUAAAGGCCUACCAAGGCGACGAUCAGUAGCUGGUCUGAGAGGACGACCAGCCACACUGGGACUGAGACACGGCCCAGACUCCUACGGGAGGCAGCAGUGGGGAAUUUUGGACAAUGGGCGAAAGCCUGAUCCAGCAAUGCCGCGUGUGUGAAGAAGGCCUUCGGGUUGUAAAGCACUUUUGUCCGGAAAGAAAUCCUUGGCCCUAAUACGGUCGGGGGAUGACGGUACCGGAAGAAUAAGCACCGGCUAACUACGUG
Molecule: ribosomal RNA, 486 nt
Filed under: uncultured bacterium
Lineage: Bacteria
Description: partial 16S ribosomal RNA
Rfam family: Bacterial small subunit ribosomal RNA
Source: RNAcentral